CCCUUAGAUGUUCUGGGCUGCACGCGCGCGACAAUGACGUUUGCAACGAGAUUGCGAGGCCGUCAGGUCGAGCUGAUCUUGCAAGCUGCGUCGUGAUAGGGACAGUCGAUUGCAAUUAUUCGACUCGAACGAGGAAUUCCUUGUAAUCGCGCAUCAUCAGUGCGCGCUGAAUACGUCCCUGCCCUUUGUACACACCGCCUGUCGCUCCUACCGAUUGAGUGAUCCGGUGAAUGUUUUGGAUCGGCUUCAAGUUGGUUCGCGCCUCUUGCUUGCUGUGAAAUCAUGUAAACCUUAUUGCUUAGAGGAAGGAGAAGUCGUAACA
Molecule: ribosomal RNA, 322 nt
Filed under: uncultured eukaryote
Lineage: Eukaryota
Description: partial 18S ribosomal RNA
Rfam family: Eukaryotic small subunit ribosomal RNA
Source: RNAcentral